CAAAGCGCCGGAGCUGGGCUUCCCUAGAACGGCCUCUCCUCUGCUUCCCUGAUAGGGCCACCUUUUGGGUUUUGUCCUAGCACCUCCCUUUCUGUCUCUGCCCUCUUCCUUUGGUCUUCUUCCUCCAGGAUCUGUGUCUCAGCUCCUGCGUCUCACUCCCUCUCUAUCUGCCUUCUGUUUCUCUUUGGGUCUCUCCCAGCUCUCCUCUUCCUGGCCUGGCUCCUCUCUCUAAUCCUGCCUCUCUUCCUCUUCCCCCAUUGCCUUGUCCCUUCUCACUCUAGGCCCUCACCUCCAGCCUCUGGCCCUGACCUCGAGCUGUGUCCUGAUUCUGUCUCUGCCCCAGGACUGCAGGGCUCCAGGAGGUCUGGGCUGCCUCCAGCUUCCCACUCCCAGGUUGCGGCUGGACUGGGACUGGUUCCUUUCCAGUUGAAUCUGGCAGCCAAACCUCUCCUCCCCCUCACCUGACAGGUGCAGCGGCCUGGAUGGGGAACCCGCCCGCCGGCCCGCCAGGGAUGGAAGCGACAGGAGUCUCAUUAGCAUCUCAAUUAAAGGCGCCUCCAUAUGGGUCGGAGAACCAGACCUGCAGGGACCAGGAAAAGGAAUACUAUGAGCCCCAGCACCGCAUCUGCUGCUCCCGCUGCCCGCCAGGCACCUAUGUCUCAGCUAAAUGUAGCCGCAUCCGGGACACAGUUUGUGCCACAUGUGCCGAAAAUUCCUACAACGAGCACUGGAACUACCUGACCAUCUGCCAGCUGUGCCGCCCCUGUGACCCAGGUGAGUGGGG
This 784-nucleotide small RNA is filed under the name Pongo abelii (Sumatran orangutan). RNAcentral describes it as "processed transcript". Lineage: Eukaryota; Metazoa; Chordata; Mammalia; Primates; Hominidae. The record is from RNAcentral.